RNAcentral lists this long non-coding RNA (1310 nucleotides) under Bemisia tabaci. Its description in RNAcentral is "lncRNA ENSSSA3NGG013562". Lineage: Eukaryota; Metazoa; Arthropoda; Insecta; Hemiptera; Aleyrodidae. The record is from RNAcentral.
AUUUUCAAUGGCACUUUUACUGCAGAACAUAAGUCGACUCAGUCAAUCACCUAGAAUAGUUGUUUCAAACUUGUCACCAAUGCAACAGCGCUUUCGAGCUCGUAAGGGAACAAGAGAGCGGAAAGAAAAAAAGAAAGUCAAGAAAGAAGUGAUCAAGCAACCAUGGAUGCCCAUCAAAAAAACAAAAACCAAAGGUGUCGCUGUCUCUCCGAGAGUGAAUGAUGAGUUGCUAACAGAACCUCCAGACAACGUGUGGUUCUUGAAUGAUUACAAGAGGCCUCUUUAUUCCUUUGCUGAAGCUUUAGGCAUGAUAAGGGAAGUGCAUCAUCCACAGUAUAUAAUCAGCCGAAAAGUCUGGUGAAUGCUUAUAUCGAAUUGGAUCUGAGAACUGCUAAGAAGGUCUGUAAUUUCUGAUUUCUGUACAAUGAUGAAACUAUUUACUAUUUCAGAAUUUGUUUUGUCAUACUUUUUUAAAGAUUUUUAAACUAACUUAUUGUGUCAGUGUACAUGUUUUUGUAAUAAUGCUGCUAUGCUCAGCAAGAGUGCAGAAGAUCAAUGACAAUUCUCCAGUCACAAAAAAUUAACGGUAAGAGCCCUUAGGUAAUCCUACAUUACGCAGCAUUCAUCAAAUAAUGAAUAUUCCGGAUUUAACAAUUGGCGAGUGGUGUGGAUGGAAGCAUGCAUAGAGAUGGUAUCUAUGUAUGUUUCCAUCCACAUCACUUGCCAAAUAUUGAGGAAAUCUCAUUGAUGUCUGGAAAUUUAAACGCAGGCUUGGCUUUACGAAUGAAAUCCUUUUGACUGGUGUCAGAAAGACCGACUUUGAGUGGGAAUGGAAAGUGCCUAUUUGAAUGAUUUGCCUUGCGUUAAUGUGAAUAUAACAGAAAAGAAGCUGCAUUCGACUUGCAAGACUCAGGCACCAAUUUUGACCACAACUCUAAUUCCUUGAAUGACAAGCAUUGAUGCUCUGGUUUCGAAUGGCGUGAUAGCUUUUAGAGUUUCAAAUGUUGAUUCAAGCAUACUGCAAGAUCAUUCCCUCACAUUUAAUUACGUAAUCGUAAGUGGUCUUAGCAAAAUCAAAAAUCGGUGAGACAUUAUAUGUCUUCAAAAAUUAAUUGUCUUCUGAAUUCUUGGUCAGAGAUUUUUUAAACUUGGGAGAUUUACUAACUUUUGAUUCUUUCUGUUUUUUUUCCUACUUUAUAGACCAAAUUUGUCGAGCGUUUUACACGUUGGUUGGGAUUCCCUAUCCUUAUGAUCAUGGUGAAGAGCGCACUGUGAUAGCAUUUUGCAAAAUCCGGAGGUUGUAAGAGAAG